RNAcentral lists this ribosomal RNA (254 nucleotides) under uncultured bacterium. RNAcentral's name for it is "partial 16S ribosomal RNA". It matches the Rfam family "Bacterial small subunit ribosomal RNA", at positions 524 to 776 of the family's 1533-position model. The record is from RNAcentral.
UACAGAGGAGCCAAGCGUUGUCCGGAUUGACUGGGCGUAAAGCGCACGCAGGCGGACGCGCGCGUGGGGUGUGAAAUCUGGCCGCUUAACGGCCAGGCGCCAUCCCAUACGGCGGGUCUGGAGCCUUGCAGAGGGCGGUGGAAUUGCCGGUGUAGUGGUGAAAUGCGUAGAUAUCGGGAGGAACACCAGUGGCGAAGGCGACUACCUGGCCUGUUUCUUGACGCUGAGGCGCGAAAGCUAGGGGAGCAAACGGG